GGGUUGUGAGGUUAAGCGACUAAGCGUACACGGUGGAUGCCCUGGCAGUCAGAGGCGAUGAAGGACGUGCUAAUCUGCGAUAAGCGUCGGUAAGGUGAUAUGAACCGUUAUAACCGGCGAUUUCCGAAUGGGGAAACCCAGUGUGUUUCGACACACUAUCAUUAACUGAAUCCAUAGGUUAAUGAGGCGAACCGGGGGAACUGAAACAUCUAAGUACCCCGAGGAAAAGAAAUCAACCGAGAUUCCCCCAGUAGCGGCGAGCGAACGGGGAGCAGCCCAGAGCCUGAAUCAGUGUGUGUGUUAGUGGAAGCGUCUGGAAAGGCGCGCGAUACAGGGUGACAGCCCCGUACACAAAAAUGCACAUACUGUGAGCUCGAUGAGUAGGGCGGGACACGUGGUAUCCUGUCUGAAUAUGGGGGGACCAUCCUCCAAGGCUAAAUACUCCUGACUGACCGAUAGUGAACCAGUACCGUGAGGGAAAGGCGAAAAGAACCCCGGCGAGGGGAGUGAAAAAGAACCUGAAACCGUGUACGUACAAGCAGUGGGAGCACAGAGCAAUCUGUGUGACUGCGUACCUUUUGUAUAAUGGGUCAGCGACUUAUAUUCUGUAGCAAGGUUAACCGAAUAGGGGAGCCGAAGGGAAACCGAGUCUUAACUGGGCGUUAAGUUGCAGGGUAUAGACCCGAAACCCGGUGAUCUAGCCAUGGGCAGGUUGAAGGUUGGGUAACACUAACUGGAGGACCGAACCGACUAAUGUUGAAAAAUUAGCGGAUGACUUGUGGCUGGGGGUGAAAGGCCAAUCAAACCGGGAGAUAGCUGGUUCUCCCCGAAAGCUAUUUAGGUAGCGCCUCGUGAAUUCAUCUCCGGGGGUAGAGCACUGUUUCGGCAAGGGGGUCAUCCCGACUUACCAACCCGAUGCAAACUGCGAAUACCGGAGAAUGUUAUCACGGGAGACACACGGCGGGUGCUAACGUCCGUCGUGAAGAGGGAAACAACCCAGACCGCCAGCUAAGGUCCCAAAGUCAUGGUUAAGUGGGAAACGAUGUGGGAAGGCCCAGACAGCCAGGAUGUUGGCUUAGAAGCAGCCAUCAUUUAAAGAAAGCGUAAUAGCUCACUGGUCGAGUCGGCCUGCGCGGAAGAUGUAACGGGGCUAAACCAUGCACCGAAGCUGCGGCAGCGACGCUUAUGCGUUGUUGGGUAGGGGAGCGUUCUGUAAGCCUGUGAAGGUGUACUGUGAGGUAUGCUGGAGGUAUCAGAAGUGCGAAUGCUGACAUAAGUAACGAUAAAGCGGGUGAAAAGCCCGCUCGCCGGAAGACCAAGGGUUCCUGUCCAACGUUAAUCGGGGCAGGGUGAGUCGACCCCUAAGGCGAGGCCGAAAGGCGUAGUCGAUGGGAAACAGGUUAAUAUUCCUGUACUUGGUGUUACUGCGAAGGGGGGACGGAGAAGGCUAUGUUGGCCGGGCGACGGUUGUCCCGGUUUAAGCGUGUAGGCUGGUUUUCCAGGCAAAUCCGGAAAAUCAAGGCUGAGGCGUGAUGACGAGGCACUACGGUGCUGAAGCAACAAAUGCCCUGCUUCCAGGAAAAGCCUCUAAGCAUCAGGUAACAUCAAAUCGUACCCCAAACCGACACAGGUGGUCAGGUAGAGAAUACCAAGGCGCUUGAGAGAACUCGGGUGAAGGAACUAGGCAAAAUGGUGCCGUAACUUCGGGAGAAGGCACGCUGAUAUGUAGGUGAAGUCCCUCGCGGAUGGAGCUGAAAUCAGUCGAAGAUACCAGCUGGCUGCAACUGUUUAUUAAAAACACAGCACUGUGCAAACACGAAAGUGGACGUAUACGGUGUGACGCCUGCCCGGUGCCGGAAGGUUAAUUGAUGGGGUCAGCGCAAGCGAAGCUCUUGAUCGAAGCCCCGGUAAACGGCGGCCGUAACUAUAACGGUCCUAAGGUAGCGAAAUUCCUUGUCGGGUAAGUUCCGACCUGCACGAAUGGCGUAAUGAUGGCCAGGCUGUCUCCACCCGAGACUCAGUGAAAUUGAACUCGCUGUGAAGAUGCAGUGUACCCGCGGCAAGACGGAAAGACCCCGUGAACCUUUACUAUAGCUUGACACUGAACAUUGAGCCUUGAUGUGUAGGAUAGGUGGGAGGCUUUGAAGUGUGGACGCCAGUCUGCAUGGAGCCGACCUUGAAAUACCACCCUUUAAUGUUUGAUGUUCUAACGUUGACCCGUAAUCCGGGUUGCGGACAGUGUCUGGUGGGUAGUUUGACUGGGGCGGUCUCCUCCUAAAGAGUAACGGAGGAGCACGAAGGUUGGCUAAUCCUGGUCGGACAUCAGGAGGUUAGUGCAAUGGCAUAAGCCAGCUUGACUGCGAGCGUGACGGCGCGAGCAGGUGCGAAAGCAGGUCAUAGUGAUCCGGUGGUUCUGAAUGGAAGGGCCAUCGCUCAACGGAUAAAAGGUACUCCGGGGAUAACAGGCUGAUACCGCCCAAGAGUUCAUAUCGACGGCGGUGUUUGGCACCUCGAUGUCGGCUCAUCACAUCCUGGGGCUGAAGUAGGUCCCAAGGGUAUGGCUGUUCGCCAUUUAAAGUGGUACGCGAGCUGGGUUUAGAACGUCGUGAGACAGUUCGGUCCCUAUCUGCCGUGGGCGCUGGAGAACUGAGGGGGGCUGCUCCUAGUACGAGAGGACCGGAGUGGACGCAUCACUGGUGUUCGGGUUGUCAUGCCAAUGGCACUGCCCGGUAGCUAAAUGCGGAAGAGAUAAGUGCUGAAAGCAUCUAAGCACGAAACUUGCCCCGAGAUGAGUUCUCCCUGACUCCUUGAGAGUCCUGAAGGAACGUUGAAGACGACGACGUUGAUAGGCCGGGUGUGUAAGCGCAGCGAUGCGUUGAGCUAACCGGUACUAAUGAACCGUGAGGCUUAACCUUACAACGCCGAAGCUGUU
This 2932-nucleotide ribosomal RNA is filed under the name Escherichia coli. RNAcentral describes it as "bacterial LSU rRNA". It matches the Rfam family "Bacterial large subunit ribosomal RNA". Lineage: Bacteria; Pseudomonadati; Pseudomonadota; Gammaproteobacteria; Enterobacterales; Enterobacteriaceae. The record is from RNAcentral.